CAAGUCGAACGAUGAUGCCCAGCUUGCUGGGUGGAUUAGUGGCGAACGGGUGAGUAACACGUGAGUAACCUGCCCCUGACUCUGGGAUAAGCGUUGGAAACGACGUCUAAUACUGGAUAUGACUACCGGCCGCAUGGUCUGGUGGUGGAAAGAUUUUUUGGUUGGGGAUGGACUCGCGGCCUAUCAGCUUGUUGGUGAGGUAAUGGCUCACCAAGGCGACGACGGGUAGCCGGCCUGAGAGGGUGACCGGCCACACUGGGACUGAGACACGGCCCAGACUCCUACGGGAGGCAGCAGUGGGGAAUAUUGCACAAUGGGCGAAAGCCUGAUGCAGCAACGCCGCGUGAGGGAUGACGGCCUUCGGGUUGUAAACCUCUUUUAGUAGGGAAGAAGCGAAAGUGACGGUACCUGCAGAAAAAGCACCGGCUAACUACGUGCCAGCAGCCGCGGUAAUACGUAGGGUGCAAGCGUUGUCCGGAAUUAUUGGGCGUAAAGAGCUCGUAGGCGGUUUGUCGCGUCUGCUGUGAAAUCCCGAGGCUCAACCUCGGGCUUGCAGUGGGUACGGGCAGACUAGAGUGCGGUAGGGGAGAUUGGAAUUCCUGGUGUAGCGGUGGAAUGCGCAGAUAUCAGGAGGAACACCGAUGGCGAAGGCAGAUCUCUGGGCCGUAACUGACGCUGAGGAGCG
This 685-nucleotide ribosomal RNA is filed under the name Curtobacterium sp. IKATA003. RNAcentral describes it as "bacterial SSU rRNA". It matches the Rfam family "Bacterial small subunit ribosomal RNA", at positions 58 to 755 of the family's 1533-position model. The record is from RNAcentral. Lineage: Bacteria; Bacillati; Actinomycetota; Actinomycetes; Micrococcales; Microbacteriaceae.